This 1196-nucleotide ribosomal RNA is filed under the name Dollfusiella tenuispinis. Its description in RNAcentral is "eukaryotic LSU rRNA". It matches the Rfam family "Eukaryotic large subunit ribosomal RNA", at positions 16 to 762 of the family's 3401-position model. Lineage: Eukaryota; Metazoa; Platyhelminthes; Cestoda; Trypanorhyncha; Eutetrarhynchidae. The record is from RNAcentral.
UAGGUCGACCCGCUGAAUUUAAGCAUAUCACUAAGCGGAGGAAAAGAAACUAACCAGGAUUCCCCUAGUAACGGCGAGUGAAGAGGGAAAAGCCCAGCACCGAAGCCUGCGGCAGUUUUGCUGUUAGGCAAUGUGGUGUUUAGGCCGGCUCGUGGGACCGUCGCUCCACUCGAAGUCCAGCAUUGAGUAUGGCUCUAUCCCAGAGAGGGUGAAAGGCCCGUUCGAGUGGAUGCUGUUACUUGACGGUUCAUCAGGCCGGCCUUCGAGUCGGGUUGUUUGAGAAUGCAGCCCAAAGCGGGUGGUAAACUCCAUCCAAGGCUAAAUACUGGCACGAGUCCGAUAGCGAACAAGUACCGUGAGGGAAAGUUGAAAAGUACUCUGAAGAGAGAGUAAACAGCACGUGAAGCCGUAUAGAGGUAAACGGGUGGCGUCAAGCUGCUAGCCUGGAGGAUUCAGUUGGUCAUCGUGAAACGCACGCCUUGGUGCGACAGCCGGUAAUAGUUAGGUAGUCCGCUGGGUAACGGCGGGCCCGGCCGCAAGGCUGGGAUGUAUGUUCCACACGGUUGGUGGUGUACGCUACUGAUACUACAGGGCUGGAUGGCCAGUGCACUUUCUCCAUUAAGGCGAACACCACGACCAGUGGUACUGCCAGUCUGGCGUAGUCAAGUUGCGCCUAGUGCGGCAUUUCUGCUACCUAGGUGCGAUCACAGGCAUUUCGGUGGACGGUGGGCUUCGGCUCAUGUUAUCGGUCACUGGUUGUCAACGGGUCUGUCUGCUUUGGAGCUUGUAGCGCCUAGUGGAUGGCCUGGUGGGCUACGCUGGUAUGCAUAACUGUGCAGGGCACUGGAUUUAUCGGCCUCAUACCCGGUUUGGCGCGCACGCUACAAGUGUGUAGUGGCGGCGUUGGUGCAACCUGUCGUUGACUGGGCCUGAUUACCGUGUCGCCUGCGCAAAGUAGGUCCGGUAGUGGCGUGGUUACGGUCGGUGUUGUAUCCGAUGCUGCCGCUGUCAGCCGGUGUUGGUCAUAAAGUCUGUGGUGCUGUGGUAGACUAGCCACCCGACCCGUCUUGAAACACGGACCAAGGAGUUUAACAUGCACGCAAGUCAAUGGGCCUCCCGAAACCCAAAGGCGAAAUGAAAGUAAAGUCUCGACUCUGUUCGAGGCGAGGUGAGAUCCUGGCGUUACUCGCACCGCU